AGUGGCGAACGGGUGAGUAAUAUAUCGGAACGUGCCCAGUCGUGGGGGAUAACGCAGCGAAAGCUGUGCUAAUACCGCAUACGAUCUCUGGAUGAAAGCGGGGGACUCGCAAGAGCCUCGCGCGAUUGGAGCGGCCGAUAUCAGAUUAGCUAGUUGGUGGGGUAAAAGCCCACCAAGGCGACGAUCUGUAGCUGGUCUGAGAGGACGACCAGCCACACUGGAACUGAGACACGGUCCAGACUCCUACGGGAGGCAGCAGUGGGGAAUUUUGGACAAUGGGCGCAAGCCUGAUCCAGCAAUGCCGCGUGCAGGAUGAAGGCCUUCGGGUUGUAAACUGCUUUUGUACGGAACGAAACGGUCCUUUCUAAUACGAGGGGCUAAUGACGGUACCGUAAGAAUAAGCACCGGCUAACUACGUGCCAGCAGCCGCGGUAAUACGUAGGGUGCGAGCGUUAAUCGGAAUUACUGGGCGUAAAGCGUGCGCAGGCGGUGAUGUAAGACAGAUGUGAAAUCCCCGGGCUCAACCUGGGACCUGCAUUUGUGACUGCAUCGCUAGAGUACGGUAGAGGGGGAUGGAAUUCCGCGUGUAGCAGUGAAAUGCGUAGAUAU
RNAcentral lists this ribosomal RNA (609 nucleotides) under uncultured bacterium. RNAcentral's name for it is "bacterial SSU rRNA". It matches the Rfam family "Bacterial small subunit ribosomal RNA", at positions 94 to 697 of the family's 1533-position model. The record is from RNAcentral.